AGAGUUUGAUCCUGGCUCAGAACGAACGCUGGCGGCGUGGAUAAGACAUGCAAGUCGAGCGGAGUACACAAGGUAUCAAUAUUUUGUGUGUUCAGCGGCGCAAGGGUGCGUAACACGUGGGUAAUUGGCCAUGAAGUCUGGAAUAACUUGCUGAAAGGCGAGCUAAUGCCGGAUGUGACUUCCGAAGGGCAUCUUUUGGAAUUCAAAGCUGGAACCGUAAGGUCUGGCGCUUCUUGAUAAGCCCGCGGUCUAUCAGCUAGUUGGUGAGGUAACGGCUCACCAAGGCUAAGACGGAUAGCUGGUCUGAGAGGACGACCAGCCACACUGGAACUGAGACACGGUCCAGACACCUACGGGUGGCAGCAGUCGAGAAUUUUUCACAAUGGGCGAAAGCCUGAUGGAGCGACGCCGCGUGGGGGAUGAAUGGCUUCGGCCCGUAAACCCCUGUCAUUUGCGAACAAACCUUACCGGUUAAUACCCGGUGAGCUGAUGUAGCGAAGAGAAGGGACA
Molecule: ribosomal RNA, 510 nt
Filed under: uncultured soil bacterium
Lineage: Bacteria
Description: bacterial SSU rRNA
Rfam family: Bacterial small subunit ribosomal RNA
Source: RNAcentral